AACCCAAGCGCUGCGGUGGCGGUGCCCGGCCGGAAGGCUGCACACCGACAUGGCGGCGGGCCGGGGCGGGUUGCGGCUCGGCGCUGCCUGGAAGGCGGUGCUGGGGAGAAGACCGGAAGGCAUCGUGCCCGCGCCAUGGGCUCGGCACAAGUUCACCAAAUCGAGAAUUCCCGAGUCGGUAUUUCAGCCACGGCCUGGAGAUCAUGAGAAGUAUGGAGGUGACCCCGAGCAGCCCCACAAAGUUCAUAUUGUUACUAGGAUCAAAAGUGUAAUCGGCCGCCCAUAUUGGGAGAAGAAGAUCAUACAUGAUCUUGGACUGGAUAAGGCGCAUCAACCAAGACUGCACAAAAAUAUCCCUUCUGUGAAUUCCAGACUGAAAGUUGUUAAACAUCUGAUAAGAAUACAGCCGUUGAAACUACCAUAUGGGUUGCCAACAGAAGAGGAAAUGGCAGACACCUUUCUUACAAGCAAGGGAGAGCUUAUCAUUAAACAGCGUCUGAAACCCGUGGAGCAGGAAGAAAUUAAGUCAUGAGAGGAUGGUGAGGCCAAGAUGUAUGGAUGGGGCUCUGAGCAUUCUGAUCUAGUGGAAGAUCCCUGCCCGUGGCAGGUGGAUAAAGGUCCCGUUCAGCAAUCUUUCUCGAAGCUUGAACUCCUGUAACGAAAACAAAAAGAUGUCUCAUCUCAGAAAGGAGGUAGACCUUGCCUAUAAGGUUAUGCAUUUUGAAAAUACAAAGGACUUGAAAUUAUUGUGCUUCUGUGGAAGAGAGCAAUCCAACUGAAGUGUAAGACUCACCACAGUAGUUUAAGCCCUCCGGUUUUGCAGUUUUGCAUGAAGCACCCGUGGUAUCGAUUCUGUUUACAUUGCCAUAGCAAUCCGUGCGGGCCUGGCACAUACCUGAAAAUGUUGUAUGAAAAGACGUAAGCGUCCUGCACUCUGCAUCCUGCACUUUGCAACUUGCACCCUGCGCCUUGUGUCCUGCACCCACCCACCCCUCAGAGCUAACCUCUUCUUCAGCAAGACUUGCAGGAGAAGUGAGCACCUUAUGUCCCAACACAAUUUGAUAACAAUUGAGAUUUGGGAAGGGGAGAUGGGGAGGUAUGUUAAUCUAGGGCUGCUCAAGGGAUGAACGCAGAGGGGCAGCAGGAUGCUGACUUACCCAGGAGGGCGGUGAAGCCCAGCAGCGUGAGCACCAGGUGCAUGGGGUCGUUCUUCCGAGCACGCAAAACAAUCUGGAAAAUCAAUCAGCAAACGUGAAGGAAUGAUCCUGUCUCAGUGCUCACUGAUUUAACACAAAUAAACCAUUUCUGAAUUGAUGGCUUAUGUCUCUCGGUUGGAUACACAAAGUGAUAUAGAAGUGCAGUCACGUCUCUCUUCUGGCACAAACCAAGCUGCAAUGCUUCCAGCCCACGUCUUCAGCAACAUCUUAGUAACCAACCUCCAGCUCCAAUAUUUAGUUGAUGAAAAAUCAAAUAAAGAAUAAAAUGAA
Molecule: RNA transcript, 1487 nt
Organism: Centrocercus urophasianus (Greater sage-grouse)
Lineage: Eukaryota; Metazoa; Chordata; Aves; Galliformes; Phasianidae
Gene: MRPL30
Gene name: mitochondrial ribosomal protein L30
Exons: 7
Source: RefSeq, a predicted model, not a curated record